This 630-nucleotide ribosomal RNA is filed under the name uncultured cyanobacterium. Its description in RNAcentral is "bacterial SSU rRNA". It matches the Rfam family "Bacterial small subunit ribosomal RNA", at positions 818 to 1449 of the family's 1533-position model. The record is from RNAcentral. Lineage: Bacteria; Bacillati; Cyanobacteriota.
GGGUGUUGCUCGUAUCGACCCGAGCAGUAUCGUAGCCAACGCGUUAAGUAUCCCGCCUGGGGAGUACGCACGCAAGUGUGAAACUCAAAGGAAUUGACGGGGGCCCGCACAAGCGGUGGAGUAUGUGGUUUAAUUCGAUGCAACGCGAAGAACCUUACCAGGGUUUGACAUCCUACGAACACCGAUGAAAGUUGGUGGUGCCUUCGGGAGCGUAGAGACAGGUGGUGCGUGGCUGUCGUCAGCUCGUGUCGUGAGAUGUUGGGUUAAGUCCCGCAACGAGCGCAACCCACGUUUUUAGUUGCCAUCAUUAAGUUGGGCACUCUAGAGAGACUGCCGGUGACAAACCGGAGGAAGGUGUGGACGACGUCAAGUCAUCAUGCCCCUUACACCCUGGGCUACACACGUACUACAAUGCACUGGACAAAGGGCAGCGAGCUAGUGAUAGUGAGCAAAUCUCAGAAACCAGUGCACAGUUCAGAUUGUAGGCUGCAACUCGCCUACAUGAAGGAGGAAUCGCUAGUAAUCGCAGGUCAGCAUACUGCGGUGAAUACGUUCCCGGGCCUUGUACACACCGCCCGUCACACCAUGGAAGUUGGUUUCGCCCGAAGUCGUUACUCCAACCUUCGGAGG